CCUUAUUAUAUUUAUUUAUUGAGGCAUGGAUUAAACCUGAAAGGAAAUGUUGUGCUGCAAAUUAUUUCUUGAGUCGCCACAGAUAGGAAAACACUCUCUGAUGUCACAGUACAACACUGCCCUCUUCAGGUUACAGAGGGAACUGAUAGGCUAUGUUAUGUAGAAAGUAAUCUAAAAAUGCAGUGAAUACAAAGAUUUAUAGAAAUAUAAUAGGCAGAUAAACAAGUUUGUGGCUGAAUCAAACUACACAAACAUAUUUCAGUUUAUAGAACUGAAAUUUAAAAAAGAGUUGAGGAUUUGUUAUCAAGUUUAUCUGUAGCCUAACAAAUGUUUUUUAAUCUAGUUCAUUCCGGUGUGAUGCUUUAAAUUAAAGUAACGAAUGGGCUAAUGUUUACACUGAACAAACAAACACGCCAUGGUCUGUCUCUAUAUUUCUACAAGGAAUUAAAUAGUCAUGGAUUUGAUCUCGGUUAUGGUUGUCAUUUACAGUACACGACAGUCCUACUGGUUUAUUAAACAAAUAUACCGUUCUGUAGUAUUGUAACGCAUUCAGUAAUGCAUUCAGUUUGAGUUUUUAAUGUUUACUGAAAUAAAGGCACUCAUGGCCAUUGGCUCUCAAUGAAAGUGCUUUCCAUGAGCCUUUCACUGCAGUGGGCUGAAUCAGGGUCACACAGAGUGAAUGUGGGUAGUCUUAAACCAAUCUAAUUUGAAACAGACGUUUACACCUCACACAAAUGGUUAUGGGGUUUAAUAAAAAAGAAGACACGAGUACCAUGUCAGAUAUAGAGUUGUACUCUAUUACAUGUAGAGUUUGCAUCCUGAUAUUACACUUUACACGCAUCACAGAAGACUGACAUAAAGCGAAACUGUUUUGACAGUCAAACACCGUAUUUUCGUCGUUGCAUUAAAAAAAAAACUUUAUUGUGACAUUAUGAAAAAUACGAAUAACACCCCACUCAUGAGACCAAAGAGGGUGCUUUCGAUCAUUGAAUGCAGGAAAGGGCUACAUUGUCAAUAACAUUUGAAAAAAACAACUCUGUCAAACACUGGGGAGAAAUUGACUCAGAUAUCUUUUUACUCAUUAUUUCAUCAAGUUAAUUAAAUUGAAUGCUUGCCAACACCAUUACUUUAAGAAGGACAGUUAAUUCAAAUGUUCUCUAUUGAAAUGAUUAUAAAAUAUAUGAGAGCAGAAGUUUAAAAAGCAUGAAUUUCUUCAGAAUCUGUCAGUCUCUCUCUCUCCACCUCUCUCUCAUGUGUGUGUGUGUGUGUGUAUGUGUGUGCCUAUGUGCCUGUGUGAGCGCAAACAAGUCUUUAAAACCUGAUAAAAAAAGAAAAGAUCAGAUAGCUCUUUCCAAACAGGGGUUUUCAGCAAGGCAAUAGCCCCUGGUGGUAACUGGAAUUCAAAGCAGAGCAGGUUAAAAGGCACUGAGGGCACAUCAUGUCUGAUGGAUGGCUGUUAGAAUUGACUGGCUUUCCUGUUGCUUGGAUCAGUAGACGACUUGUUGCUCUGUUGCUCAGACUUGUUGCUC
This is a long non-coding RNA of Oncorhynchus tshawytscha (Chinook salmon), 1529 nucleotides long. The record is from Ensembl. NCBI's taxonomy places the organism in Eukaryota, Metazoa, Chordata, Actinopteri, Salmoniformes, Salmonidae.